RNAcentral lists this ribosomal RNA (1113 nucleotides) under Osmia melanocephala. RNAcentral describes it as "partial 16S ribosomal RNA". Lineage: Eukaryota; Metazoa; Arthropoda; Insecta; Hymenoptera; Megachilidae. The record is from RNAcentral.
CUUUUGUAUCAGGGUUAAUUAAAAAAUUUUUAAUUAAUUAAAUAUCUCGAAAUUAAAAGAGUUAAAUAUAUAAAAUUUUUUUUGUUGAAUAAAAAUUAUGAAUAUAUAUUUAGAGAUUAUAUGUUAUUCAAUUUUAAUUAUAUCUAGUUUUUUUUGAAUUAAAUUUAAUUUAUAUAUUUUUAAAGAAUAAAAUUUUAUAAAAAAUUUUAUUUUAAAAAAUAUAAAUAAUUUAUGGGAUAAACUAUAAAUUAAUUGUAUAAUAUUAAAAUUUAUAAUUUAGAAAAUUAAUUUUAAAAUUUAAAAUAUUUAAAAAAUAUUUAAUAAUUUAUUAAUUAUUUAAAUAUAAAAAUUUUAUUAUAUAAAAUUUAAAAAAAAAAUAAUUUUAAUAAUAUUAAUUAUAUUAAAAUGAUUAAAUUAGUAAUUUAAUUUGUAUAAAUAAUUUUAUGAAAAAAUAUAUUUUUAAGUAAUUAGGCAAAAUAAUUAUAUUCACCUGUUUAACAAAAACAUGUCUUUUUGAUUAUAAUUUAAAGUCAGUUCUGCUCAAUGAAAAAUUAAAUAGCUGCAGUAUUUUGACUGUACAAAGGUAGCAUAAUCAUUUGUCUUUUAAUUGAAGGCUAGAAUGAAUGAAUUAAUGAAAUAUAAACUGUCUCAAUUUUAUAAAAUAAAUUUAAAUUUUAAGUUAAAAUGCUUAAAUUUAUUUAAGGGACGAUAAGACCCUAUAGAAUUUUAUAUAUGAAUAAUUUAUUUAAAUUAUAUAAAUAUAUUUAGUUGGGAGGAUUUUUAAAUUUAAUUAACUUUAAAAUUUUAAAAUAUUGAUUAAUAGAAUUAAAUGAAAUAUUUUUAAUAAUAUUAAAAUAAAUUACCUUAGGGAUAACAGCGUAAUAUUUUUGGAAAGAUCAAAUUGAAAAAAUUGUUUGCGACCUCGAUGUUGAAUUAAAAUGAAUUAUAAAUGUAGAAGUUUAUAAAUUUAGUCUGUUCGACUAUUAAAAUUUUACAUGAUUUGAGUUCAGAUCGACGUGAGUCAGAUUGGUUUUUAUCUUUAAAAAAAUUUAAAAUUUUUGUACGAAAGGACUAAGUUUUAAAAAUAAUUUUUAAAAUAAAAUAAUAAAUAAU